GAGGGUGUAGCUCAGUGGUAGAGUACGUGAGUAGCAUGCACGAGGUCCUGGGUUCAAUCCUCAGUACCUCCA
RNAcentral lists this transfer RNA (72 nucleotides) under Camelus bactrianus (Bactrian camel). It matches the Rfam family "tRNA". From Rfam's summary of the family: Transfer RNA (tRNA) molecules are approximately 80 nucleotides in length. Their secondary structure includes four short double-helical elements and three loops (D, anti-codon, and T loops). Further hydrogen bonds mediate the characteristic L-shaped molecular structure. tRNAs have two regions of fundamental functional importance: the anti-codon, which is responsible for specific mRNA codon recognition, and the 3' end, to which the tRNAs corresponding amino acid is attached (by aminoacyl-tRNA synthetases). tRNAs cope with the degeneracy of the genetic code in two manners: having more than one tRNA (with a specific anti-codon) for a particular amino acid; and 'wobble' base-pairing, i.e. permitting non-standard base-pairing at the 3rd anti-codon position. Lineage: Eukaryota; Metazoa; Chordata; Mammalia; Artiodactyla; Camelidae. RNAcentral also lists the same sequence under 3 other names. The record is from Rfam by way of RNAcentral.